UACAGAGGUCUCAAGCGUUGUUCGGAUUCAUUGGGCGUAAAGGGUGCGUAGGUGGCGCGCUAAGUCAGGUGUGAAAUUUCGGAGCUUAACUCCGAAACUGCAUUUGAUACUGGCGUGCUUGAGGACUGGAGAGGAGACUGGAAUUCAUGGUGUAGCAGUGAAAUGCGUAGAUAUCGAGAGGAACACCGGUGGCGAAGGCGGCCUUCUGGACAGUGACUGACGCUGAGACGCGAAAGCGUGGGGAGCAAACAGG
RNAcentral lists this ribosomal RNA (253 nucleotides) under uncultured bacterium. RNAcentral's name for it is "partial 16S ribosomal RNA". It matches the Rfam family "Bacterial small subunit ribosomal RNA", at positions 524 to 776 of the family's 1533-position model. The record is from RNAcentral.